UACUGCCUACGGGAGGCAGCAGUGGGGAAUAUUGCACAAUGGGGGGAACCCUGAUGCAGCGACGCCGCGUGAGUGAAGAAGUAUUUCGGUAUGUAAAGCUCUAUCAGCAGGGAAGAAGAUGACGGUACCUGACUAAGAAGCCCCGGCUAACUACGUGCCAGCAGCCGCGGUAAUACGUAGGGGGCAAGCGUUAUCCGGAUUUACUGGGUGUAAAGGGAGCGUAGACGGUAUGGCAAGUCUGAUGUGAAAACCCGGGGCUCAACCCCGGGACUGCAUUGGAAACUGCCGAACUAG
RNAcentral lists this ribosomal RNA (294 nucleotides) under uncultured bacterium. RNAcentral describes it as "partial 16S ribosomal RNA". It matches the Rfam family "Bacterial small subunit ribosomal RNA", at positions 334 to 644 of the family's 1533-position model. The record is from RNAcentral.